RNAcentral lists this ribosomal RNA (468 nucleotides) under uncultured bacterium. RNAcentral describes it as "partial 16S ribosomal RNA". It matches the Rfam family "Bacterial small subunit ribosomal RNA", at positions 28 to 507 of the family's 1533-position model. The record is from RNAcentral.
GACGAACGCUGGCGGCGUGCUUAACACAUGCAAGUCGAACGGAAAGGCCCUGCUUUUGUGGCGUGCUCGAGUGGCGAACGGGUGAGUAACACGUGAGUAACCUGCCCCUGACUUUGGGAUAACUUCAGGAAACUGGGGCUCAUACCGGAUAGGAGCUCCUGCUGCAUGUUGGGGGUUGGAAAGUUUCGGCGGUUGGGGAUGGACUCGCGGCUUAUCAGCUUGUUGGUGGGGUAGUGGCUUACCAAGGCUUUGACGGGUAGCCGGCCUGAGAGGGUGACCGGCCACAUUGGGACUGAGAUACGGCCCAGACUCCUACGGGAGGCAGCAGUGGGGAAUAUUGCACAAUGGGCGGAAGCCUGAUGCAGCAACGCCGCGUGCGGGAUGACGGCCUUCGGGUUGUAAACCGCUUUCGCCUGUGACGAAGCGUGAGUGACGGUAAUGAGUAAAGAAGCACCGGCUAACUACGUG